CCAACCUAGAACAUCUCCCCCCUCAGCCUCAGCUCCUUCAAUUGUUUGGUUAGGUUAUAUUUUGACAGGAUGUGUGAGGUAUGUAAAAUAACAAACUGUGCAAUGUACGUAGAUAACAACCUUUACCAUUUAUUGAACCACACUAGGUGACAGUAUUCCCACUGAGCACCGAACAAAAACAUUUACUGAGUGAUACAACACACUAAAUAACUUGUCACUUCUCAUGACUUAUUCAAGGUAACGAGCCGGCAGCCUAAUAGGCCUACCGCGCCUAGUCCAGUGAACAACUGGAGCAACUGGGGCAGCAAGGUGUCCUCUACCUCCUCGCCGCUGUCUUGGACCCCUCGGACGUCGCCGUUGAGGUUGAUGAUGAGGGCCUUGGUUAACAUCCAGCUCAGGCUCCCUGCCAUGGGGCGGACUCCAAUCCAGCUGAUGUUGCCUCUCCAUCAGUUCUUGUUGCCUGGGCGGAGUUUGAGCUCUCUGCAACACAUGAGAUCUGUCUUGAGUUUCAAAAUCAUAUGCAACAACAGAAGGUUCGUCUAACCUAUCAGACCUAGUCCGAGAUUUCCUCAAGUGCCAGAACACAAUGGCUUCUCCGACAGCGAAUUCCACAGGCUUUCUCCUGGCUCGCCUGUCAUGCUGUUCUUUGACUCUGGCCUGCCUGUUAGUCUGCACUGCCCCGAGCUGCACUACUCUCGGCUCCAAUUGCUGUGGUCUAGUGGGCACACUUGUGCGACACAUGCGACUCAUCAGAAUUUGAGCUGGUGACCACGACAUCCCUGUCAGCGGAGUGUUGUUAUACUCUCUGAGUGCAUCCAGCCCUACAUCCUUCUCCGUCUCUACUUUCAAUUGAGCCAUCACCCCAGGAGCAAUGGAUAGAUUGGCAGUCACUUCGUGAACUACUUCCACCAUCUCCGGGUCAUCCUCAACAGGAUCCUGGAUAUAGUUUCGAGACAGCAGAUCGGCAAGGAACAUGUAUUUUCCUGACCGGGCCUUUUCCAGCACCCUGCCCAUAAUCAGAUCAUGUUCAACUAGAUCUUUUCCGGGAAUGAGGAUGUCAUCAAAGUACACGAUGCCCCCUGUCUCCCCGAAAACCUGAUCCGUUAAGUACU
Thrips palmi is the source of this 1112-nucleotide long non-coding RNA. RefSeq lists it as uncharacterized. Lineage: Eukaryota; Metazoa; Arthropoda; Insecta; Thysanoptera; Thripidae. The record is from RefSeq and is a predicted model, not a curated record. The transcript is spliced from 4 exons.